Molecule: long non-coding RNA, 7697 nt
Organism: Mesocricetus auratus (golden hamster)
Lineage: Eukaryota; Metazoa; Chordata; Mammalia; Rodentia; Cricetidae
Exons: 3
Source: RefSeq, a predicted model, not a curated record
ACCUAAAUAAAUAAAUAAAUAAAUAAAUAAAUAAAUAAAUAAAUAAAUAAAUAAACUACUGGCUGCAAUUUUUGUAGGUAGGAGAGCAUUGGACAUGCAGGGAUAAUAACACACAUUUACAGAGCUCUGACUGUGUGCUAGGCACCUGUGUGAAAUAUUCUCAUUUUAGGGGACUGGAGAGUUGGCUCAGUGGUCAAGAACAGUGGCUGCUCAUGCAGAGGACAGGAUUGCAUCCCAGGCACCCAUAAGGUGGCUCACAGCCAUCUCUAGUUUCAGUGCUCUUCUGGCCUGCAGUGCGCACACACACUCACACACACACACACACACACACACAGCCAUCUCUAGUUUCAGUGCUCUUCUGGCCCGUGGUACACACACACACACACACACACACACACAGGCUUGACUUGGGUGCGAGAUUCAGGCAAGCUGUGCGUGAGGGAGGGAGAGGUAGGACAGGUACAUCUUCAUGGAUUGUGAGUCUUGGUUGAAGAAAACAGAACUUGUGUACACUGAGGCAGGCAGGGGAAGGGUUGCGGGGUGCCACCCAACUCCCCUGAAACUAAUCUCAGUUAAUGCAAUGUUUAUCAAAUUCCUUGGGUAAUGAUACUGUGAGUGUCAUUAUCAUCACCAAAACCCAGUCUAGGUUUAAAAAAAAGUUACAGAUGAUUAACACAACUUCAAGUUGAUGUUGCACACACAUACACUCUCUCUCUCUCUCUCUCUCUCUCUCUCUCUCUCUCUCUCUCUCACACACACACACAACCACACAUACACACUCUCACAGGCAAAACCCCACUCUGCAACACAAAAUUUCAAAGAUUCUCCUUUAAUCCUUCUAUUGGCAUGUUGUAGAGUUAAAAUUCUUUGUUCAAGGCCGGGGAUGUAACCCAGGGGUAUUGUGUCUAUUUGACACGUACAAGGCCCGAGUUUUAAAAUUACUUGUCUAAUCAAAGCCAGUGUACUUAGCAAUGAGUCCAUGUCCUUCACCACGAUGUUUCCCAAUGAGCCAGAGCCCCAGCCCGAGGCCAAGCCAUAAAGGUGGCAGGGUAGAGCAUGGCAUGCUGUGUCUAGGCAACGCUCAGUGCUGUGUGGGCAUUGUGGUACCAUGGAAGAACGUGGGUUGGCAGGAUCAGAUUUUUGGUUCAGAAAGGCAGCUUUCAUGAUUUAAUAGACAAUGAUGUAGGCAGGUGUGUGUGUGGGGGGAUGCUGGUAUUCACAACGGGAGGAAGGAUAGAUUUGAAGAUCUUCUCCUUGGCAGGAGCUGGUGAGUUAGGACGGGCGAUGGGAAAGGACAAGGGGAAGCAGAAGCCAUGGAAACUGCAUUAGAGGAGAGCAGACGUUUGCUCCACCCAAGCCCCAACUCCACUUCCCACCGUCAACCCUGUGUUGAUUCCACAGGAAAGAGGUUGGCUCUUGACAGCUUUGUGUCUAGAAUAGCGCAAUAGCCUUCUCGAUAGUAUGACGGGCUAGAGACGCUAGCCGGGGACCAUACAUUCCAACUCCGCACCCUCCUCAUCUCUUACCUCUAGUUCGGCAGCCUUGCCUUGCAGAAGAAACAAGAUUGCAGAAUAAGAGUGUAAAGAGUCUUGAGCUUCCGUAGCCUACAUUGUGGGACUACGGAAACAUCAAGGUUCAGAUCUCCAUCAUUAAAAAGUCAUGUUGAGGUAGGAACAAGGAAGGAAACCCAGAGUCCAUGAACUGUGGUCUCCUUCCGGGUGGGUCUGGAGGAGUGGGGGGGGGCACAGCUGCAACUCUGUCAGCUUGGGUGGCUCAAGGCAGAGAUCUUCCACACCCUCGUCUCACGUAGACUCCAGAAUUCCCUAAGUAACAGAAGGGGCACCAAUCUUCAAGUGUUUCCGCAGGAAUCAGGAAAGUGACUUCCUAGACAUCCAAUGGGUUCAUGCCAUGGUUUGCAAAUGUUUCCUCUGUCCCCAGUUUGCACGGUUGAAAUCCUAGCAAGAAGUGUGGUCUUUGGGAAGGAAUUGGAACCUGAGGGUGGUUUCGUGCCCAUUGUAGGAAGACGGGGAGAGGUUACCUGACCCUUCUGCUGUGUCCUGGCACAGGAAGGAAGCACUGUUUCUGAGGAAGGGGACCUACCUGAACUUUACUCUUGGAUGUCUUGCAGCUGGAGAUUCUCUUGUCCCACCUACGUACUGCUGCCACGGAGAAUGCCAGUGUCUUUUCAGGACUUCUGAAAGCACAGCAAGUGCCCUUAAGUGCUCGGAACUAACUUCUUUCAUUGUCAAUGAUAUUCAUUCGUCUCAGGCCAGAGAGACAACGGUUUGGAGGGCAAAGGUGCUUGCUACUGAGCGGAUGACGUGAGUUAGACACGGGGACCCACGUGGUACAAGGAGGGAAUCAACUCCACAUCAUCCUCCAACAUCUACCAGAGCACCAUGGCACGUGUCUGUCACAGACAGUAAAUAAACAUACGUAAUAAUAAUAAUAAUAAACUAUACUCAUCUCUUAGAACAAAAGGGAAACCUGAAUGAACAGAAAGAGAAUCGAGGCUCUAAUUUUGGGCUCUUUGAUGGUUUUGAGGGAAGAGGGCAGAACAUCAAAUGCCCACAGUGGAAGACAAUGGGCAAUGGCCAGGACGGAAGCAGAAAUUAAGACAAGUUAGAGAGGUUAUCAAUGCAUGAAGUAAUGAAAGGAAAAUGCUUGGUGGGAUAGAGGAAGACACAAAAAUUCUAUUCACCGCAUACAAAAACCAACCUGGGGGGAAAAAUUAGAAGAAAAAUACAAUAAAAUAAUACUGCUUGAGUUGGGUUCUUCUUUUUUUGGCCUCUCUUCUCUAAUUGUCGUUUUCAUUUUUAUUUUUAAAAUAUGGAACUGGGAAAGAACAGAAAUACCAAAGGAUCAGACAAAAUUAGAAGAAGAGGGCUUAUGGAGGAGGAGGAAGACCGCGGUGGCGACGAACAAAGACAGCCAGUAGAUGAAAGACGGCGAGGGAGCGGGGAGAGCGUUCAGUCCAGCCUGGAGGAGAUCAUUACUGGCUCAAGUGCUGGGAAGUGGACAAAAGCCCGUGUGCAGUGGGGUCAGAUGAGAGGCCCAGGAAGAAUCCAUGUUUCAGCACCUACGAUCACAAUAAUUCACUCACGGGUUCCCCAGACACUAUUACUUUAGUUCUGGUCUUAGCGUGUUGGGAUUCUGCCUACAUUAGUUUUUUUUUUUCUUUUUGGCCGAUAAAUGAAAAUCAAAAAAAAAAUCCCAUGUGCAAGUUUCUUUGCCCUUAUUUUUUUGAACUGAAAAAUAAAGAAACGAUAAAUUCUCUCUCCGAGCCGACCUACUCGCUGGGAAUGCCACCGUGUAGAAAUCUUAAUAAUACAUUCGGUGCACGCCGAUUAAAAACAGAAGGACUUGGUUGGCCAAGGUCACGUCAGCUGCCUUUGCCUCUCAGUGAUUUUUGUGUAUAUUUUAUCCAUGAAAGACAAAUUACUAUGAAAGGCUGGCAAUAUAGGCUUAAGAAAGGCAGAGAACAAAGUGUGUUCCUUGCUCUUUGAAUUUCUUAAAAUUAAGUUCUUACGACCCCUGCUGCUCACCUUCAAACAAGCCGCCGUGAAAAGUCCUCUGUGAAACCGAGAGAAAGGAUGAACCAAAGAGUUUCACUUAUUUAAAAAAAAAAUAAAGAAGAAGAAGAAGAAGCUGUCCACAGGAGAGAGAACAUUCAAGUCUCCCAGUAGCCAUACUUAUUAGCUAAAUUGAAUGCCUGUGGUGGGUCUCAUGGGGGCACAUGGCACCAGGCUCUUUGUAUUACAACUCAGCCGGAGCCUUCAUUCCCUUGUAAUUAAGGGCAAGGGGCCAGCCAGUGAUGUGAUGGGAAGCAAUUAUGAGGAUGAGGCCUCACCAUCAACACUUUUCAAGAGUUUGUGUGCCUGCACUUGUGUUUGUCUGAGUCUCCUAUGGAACCCCUGGCUUGUCCCUGGAGCUGUGGGUUCAUCCUCCAACUGUAACCAUGCUUAAUACUUACGAAGAACCUACUGUGUGGGCAGUAUUGCUCCAAGUUUUGUAGAUGUGUGGCCAUGAUCCAUCUUCUCAAACUCUUCCACAGUUAAAGGUUCAGUCCCAGGUACCCCGAAGCAGACUCUGAGCUGUGGUGGACCCAGGACAGACCAGGGGUGCCGUAGCGAGGGGGGGGCGCAGCUGAUCUAGAAUAUAUUUCAAGCCAAGUCCUUUAGGCGACAGCUUUGCCCUGGUCUUGUUGGAAAGAGGGUUUGGCUUCCACUGAACUGCACAGCAUGUGAUGGGCAGCUGCAAGGAAGGUGUUUGCUUGUGACCUGUGAGAGGAGAGAGACAUGAAUGAGGGACGGGAAUGCCCCACACAGUCUCCCACAAGGAAGGUGUUCGCUCGUGACCUGUGAGAGGAGAGAGACGUGCACAUGAAUGAGGGACGGGAAUGCCCCACAUAGUCUCCCACAAGGGUGGAGCUGUUGGUACCUCUGCCCCACCCUACAGGCAUGUCUGGUCAAAGUGGCUCACCUCUGAGUCUAAGCUGCCUUUCCUGUCCCUUCUGAGCCUCCAGUGGUUGUCAUUUAUCAAGAAGAGAUGAGGCAGAAACGCUGCGCUCCCCAAACCAGAAACCUGAGCUACCACAGAGCCUGUACGCUUGGGGGAGGUGUGAAGCUGCCUGGCGCGUCUCCCACUCUCACUCAGCCGUUCGAUGGAAAUGGCUGCUUACAACCAUAAAGAAAGCUAGCACUCACAGAGUACCCGCCACAUACCAGGUACUCCUCUAUGCAUCACACGUGUCAAUCUGUUUGCUCAACCGCUCUGUGAGGGGUGAAGGAGAGCCAGGGAGCAGCCAGGCGUUUCUCACAGCUCGUGAGCUGUACAGGUUGACUCGCACUCACAUAGGUCCGUCUGGCUGCGCAGGCCAGCCUUAGAGUCAUGUCAUGGUGCUGCCUCCUUAUAGGCGUGAAGUAAUGCAUUGAAACUCUAAUUUCUUAGAAGACAUUUUCCAAAAACAAUCUUUAAUUUGGUGAUGAGGAAAUUGGCGCAGCUACUUACAAUAUGUCAGUGAUAUUAUAGACAAGGAGGAGAAGAAGAGAAGGAGAAAGAGAAGAGAGAGGAAGACAGCGUUUAUACAGAAUAUGCUCCACUGUCCACAGUUACAGUCUCUAGAUGCAAAGAAAAAAAAAGACUUGGGAAUUUGAGGAAAUUGCUCAGGAAUUAUAUACUUGCUAAUAUGAAUACCCACUUCCUUAAAUGUGGUCUUUUAUUUGUGGUUGUGCAGAAGAAUGUGUUUAUUCUCAAUUUGCCACUCAGCAAAGUGUUUCAGUGUAAAGCUAUGAUGGUGUUCCUGAAUUAUUAUUAAGCCGUCUAAGAGCAAUGUCAAUGACUGUCCUGGUGUGUUCCUUACAUGUAAGUCUGUAUGUCCAAGCUUUACGUACCCUGUGAGUCCCCAGGUGUGUGCUGGAAUUGAACCCCUACAAAAUAACCGAGCCAUCUCCUCCGGCUGAAAAAAACAUCUUUUGGAAAAGGGACAGUAAAUGAGAAACAAUCUCUCAAAGUUGUUCCCUGACCUCCACACGCCUGUCAUAACAAGGAUAGGCCCAUACAUACACAAUAAAAGGAGAAAGGAAGGGUUUCGAAGGAAAAGUAGAAAAACCAAUCAAGUCCAAAUUGAGGUUUGGACUCUACUGGUCUAAAGAGGAUCCCCAGGUGUGGUUGUUUAAAGAAAAUGGCCUCUAAAGCACUGUUAGGAGGUGUGGCUUUGCUGGAGUGGGUGUAGCCUUGUUGGAGGAAGUGUGUCACUGUGGAGGCGGGCUUUGAGGUCUCACACAUGGUCAAGCUGUGCCCAGUGAUUCGGACCACUUCCUGUUUCCUGUGGGACAAGAUGUAAGGACUCUCAGCGCCUACUCCAGCACCUUGUCUGCCUACCUGCCAUCGUGCUUCCUGCCAUGAUGACAAUGGACUAAACCUCUGAACUGUAAGGGACUAAAUGUUUUCCUUAUAAGAGUUGCUGUGGUCAUAGUAUCUCUUCAUGGAAACGGAAACCCUGACUAAGACACCAGGGUGGGCUUUGUUCAAUGUGAUUUCCUGGUACUGACCAGGUACCAAGGAUAUUGAGGCAGAAGGAUGCAGAAAGCUCAGAGGGCUGGUGUGGCGUGGCAUGAAACAGGGAGAAGAGGACAAACUCACAGAGGUUUCUAGGUGAGUUUUGGUUUGCAUACGGGCUGGAAAGAUGACUCGGUGGUUAAGAGCACUGAUUGCUCCUGUAGAGGACCACCACGGCCUUGAGAGCUGGGUCUUGGAAACCUGACUGGGCAUUGAUAGGAGAUUAAGACAGGCACCAGAACACAAAGCUGGCAUGGAAACACACCAGCAGCAAGAGUCUCAGUGUGUUUAUUUUAUACAGCAUGAACAAGGAAUUGGGUUAGCUAAUUUAGGUAGGGGGUCUUUAUAGGGAAGUCUGGGGUUGGGGGGCUGUAAUCAUGCAGCUAUCUGGGACACUCUGCAUGUUCUGUUUUAAUGAUCAACUGUGUCAACAUCCAUACUCCGACUUGGGAAAGCCCUUCCAUUCGCAUGAGUCUGAUGCCUUGGUAUCCUCGACAUGGCCAUGUUCAUGUCAACAAUCCACAUUAAUUCAGGGAUUCAUGUCCUCUCCACAGAGGACCCAGGUUUGGUUCCCAACACCCACAUGGUGACUCAUAACUGCCUGUAAUUCUAGUUGCAGGAGAUCCAACCCUCUAUGGAAGUGAUUCUCAACCUUCCUAAUGGUGCAACCCUUUAAUACAGUUCCUCAUGUGUGGUGAUGGCCAACCAUAAAACUAUUUCGUUGUUGCUUCAUAACUGUAAUUUUGCUGCUAUUAUGAGUCAUAAUGUAAAUAUCUGAGAUGCAGGAUAUGUGACCCCCCAAAGGGGUCAAGGCCUGCAGGUUGACGGGCACCUGAAUUACAAGUGGUGCUCACAAAUUCACAGAGCUGCAAGUGUGCAAUGGAUAUCGUAAAAGGGGUAAAUGUGGGAACAGAGUCUCCCAUUUGUGAUGGCUGCAACAAUCCAGGCAGGAGGUGACAACGAUACUGCCAUGGCUGUGUGUGCUUUGAUGGCAUGCCCAACAGAAGAUUGAGAGCUGAAUCCAGCCUGGCUCCACAUUUUGUCCUGAAUACCUAGAAAGUUGGAGUUGACACCCAUUGAGAAUAGAAUGAAUCUGAGGGAGGUGAAACAGAGCUUGCCCUUGAACAAACAUAGCUGUCUCUGGCCAUCCAGAGACAGUCAUCAUGAAGGUGGUUGGAAAGCGAGGUCCCUAGCCUCUAGUAGAAGCCAUGACCUCAGGUAGGAUGGCCAAGACAGUGGAUGUGGAUGGUGGAGAGGAGACCAUGAAGGCCUGCACUAGGCACAUGUUUUCCUGUGUUCUCAUUCAUGCCGUUUUCAUUUUGUGUAGGAAAUCAUUACCCUGUCUAAAAUAGAAAAUUGACGGUUAUCUAAAGUGCUCUAGAUAGCCAGCCAAUCAAAUAACUACAUUUGGAGGAUAUGCUAAUUUUCCUCAAUGAUCUGGUCUGCUUUUCUACAAAUGUCUGCAUUAUUCGAUACUGGGAUGGCUACAUUUUGAGUUGCGUCAUUAUUCUGCUAUUAAUCAGUAAUGUAUUAAUCUUUUGUUUUGCAAAGUGCAAGAAUGCAGUUAAGGGGCUCUACAGGGAGCAGUCCUUGUCUAUGUUGGCUUUCUGAAAUAAAAAUCAACUUUGUUGUUGGAA